GACGAACCGUGCGAACGUUGUUCGGAAUCACUGGGCUUAAAGGGCGCGUAGGCGGGCUGUCAAGUCUGGGGUGAAAUGCCGCAGCUCAACCGUGGAACUGCCUUAGAUACUGACGGCCUCGAGGGAGGUAGGGGCGUGCGGAACUGUAGGUGGAGCGGUGAAAUGCGUUGAUAUCUACAGGAACUCCGGUGGCGAAAGCGGCGCGCUGGACCUCUUCUGACGCUGAGGCGCGAAAGCUAGGGGAGCAAACGGG
This 253-nucleotide ribosomal RNA is filed under the name uncultured bacterium. RNAcentral describes it as "partial 16S ribosomal RNA". It matches the Rfam family "Bacterial small subunit ribosomal RNA", at positions 524 to 776 of the family's 1533-position model. The record is from RNAcentral.